CAUGAAAUCCCCUGUUUCUCGCAAGCAUCAUAAGCAUGUCCCUGUAGAAGAACAUGUCUGGCCGAUACCAUAUUUCUUUACGCACUACAUUAUAUAACUUCAUGCAAAGAAAAACCUGGUCUUGCCUCUGAAACUCAGCAAGAACAGCGACAAGAUCAGACUUGAGCAAGCGAGAAACAUGGGAUUUCAUGAAUCGAUCAAGCCGGAGAGGGUCUGAUUGGAGUCGCUUGAGCUCCUUGGCCACAAUUAACCCUUCUUUGCCCAUCUCUUUCUUCCGCCUCCAUAUAGACAAGCUAGGCUUGGAAGCCAAAUUUGAAA
Molecule: unclassified non-coding RNA, 318 nt
Filed under: Hevea brasiliensis (rubber tree)
Lineage: Eukaryota; Viridiplantae; Streptophyta; Magnoliopsida; Malpighiales; Euphorbiaceae
Source: RNAcentral